Molecule: ribosomal RNA, 497 nt
Filed under: uncultured bacterium
Lineage: Bacteria
Description: partial 16S ribosomal RNA
Rfam family: Bacterial small subunit ribosomal RNA
Source: RNAcentral
GAUGAACGCUGGCGGCGUGCCUAAUACAUGCAAGUCGAGCGAACGGACGAGAAGCUUGCUUCUCUGAUGUUAGCGGCGGACGGGUGAGUAACACGUGGAUAACCUACCUAUAAGACUGGGAUAACUUCGGGAAACCGUAGCUAAUACCGGAUAAUAUUUUGAACCGCAUGGUUCAAAAGUGAAAGACGGUCUUGCUGUCACUUAUAGAUGGGUCCGCGCUGCAUUAGCUAGUUGGUAAGGUAACGGCUUACCAAGGCAACGAUGCAUAGCCGACCUGAGAGGGUGGUCGGCCACACUGGAACUGAGACACGGUCCAGACUCCUACGGGAGGCAGCAGUAGGGAAUCUUCCGCAAUGGGCGAAAGCCUGACGGAGCAACGCCGCGUGAGUGAUGAAGGUCUUCGGAUCGUAAAACUCUGUUAUUAGGGAAGAACAUAUGUGUAAGUAACUGUGCACAUCUUGACGGUACCUAAUCAGAAAGCCACGGCUAACUACGUG